UACACACCGCCCGUCACACCAUGGGAGUUUGUUGCACCAGAAGCAGGUAGCUUAACCGCAAGGGGGGCGCUUGCCACGGUGUGGCCGAUGACGGGGGUG
Molecule: ribosomal RNA, 99 nt
Filed under: uncultured bacterium
Lineage: Bacteria
Description: partial 16S ribosomal RNA
Rfam family: Bacterial small subunit ribosomal RNA
Source: RNAcentral